UUUCUUGGUCAUUUAGAGGAAGUAAAAGUCGUAACAAGGUCUCCGUUGGUGAACCAGCGGAGGGAUCAUUACCGAGUUUACAACUCCCAAACCCCUGUGAACAUACCUUAAUGUUGCCUCGGCGGAUCAGCCCGCGCCCCGUAAAACGGGACGGCCCGCCAGAGGACCCAAACUCUAAUGUUUCUUAUUGUAACUUCUGAGUAAAACAAACAAAUAAAUCAAAACUUUCAACAACGGAUCUCUUGGUUCUGGCAUCGAUGAAGAACGCAGCAAAAUGCGAUAAGUAAUGUGAAUUGCAGAAUUCAGUGAAUCAUCGAAUCUUUGAACGCACAUUGCGCCCGCUGGUAUUCCGGCGGGCAUGCCUGUUCGAGCGUCAUUUCAACCCUCAAGCCCCCGGGUUUGGUGUUGGGGAUCGGCUCUGCCCUUCUGGGCGGUGCCGCCCCCGAAAUACAUUGACGGUCUCGCUGCAGCCUCCAUUGCGUAGUAGCUAACACCUCGCAACUGGAACGCGGCGCGGCCAUGCCGUAAAACCCCAACUUCAUGAAUGUUGACCUCGGAUCAGGUA
RNAcentral lists this ribosomal RNA (565 nucleotides) under uncultured fungus. RNAcentral's name for it is "eukaryotic LSU rRNA". The stretch from base 223 to 376 matches the Rfam family "5.8S ribosomal RNA". Lineage: Eukaryota; Fungi. The record is from RNAcentral.